RNAcentral lists this long non-coding RNA (942 nucleotides) under Homo sapiens (human). RNAcentral describes it as "HSALNT0349268". Lineage: Eukaryota; Metazoa; Chordata; Mammalia; Primates; Hominidae. The record is from RNAcentral.
GGGCGGGAAAGGACGGACGGGUUAAGUAGCCAAUCACCAAUUGCGCUCCAGCCAGAGGGGCGAUGUUCUUGGGGAGCCUGGGGAUCUGGAAGAAGUUCAGUGUGAGGACGAGUGUUAGGAAAUAAGGCUGAAGACAGAGGCAACCCUGGAGGAUCUUCUAACCCAUGUCAAGCAGUUGAGAAUUUAUGGAGUGAAAUAGCAAGCCAUUGAAGAGUUUCAAGGUGCUCCCAAUGCAAUCACAAAGAUCUUUAAAAGUGGAAGAAGGUGGGAGAGGUCAGAGUGAUACGAAGAGAACUCAGUCUACCACUGCUGGCUUUGAAGAUGGAAGAAUGGGGCUAUGAGCCCUGGAUUGCGGGCAGCCUGCAGAAGCUGGGGCAGAGAUUCCACACAGGCACCUCUAGAAAAUAAUGCAGCCAGCCAAUCCUUAGACUUUAUCCCAGUGAGAGUCAAGUUGGACUUCUGACCUACAAAAGAGAAACAGCUUUUCCUGCUUUGGCAUCAAAACCAUAUCAACAAAAGCCCAAACCAGAACACACAGCUCAGUGGAAGAUGGAUACGCCCAUGUUUUCAAGCCCUUUGACACAGCCGACAAAGAUCCUGACAGAUAAAUUGGUGUGGGCCUGUCUUUCUGGGACCUUCUUGCCUGAAAUUAUUUCAAGACCAGUUUUCUCAGCCAUAGAGUAUGUGCAGCAGAGGUCUGUAUCUUCUGCAGGUUGAUGUGCUCCUGUGCAACUGGAUGGGUCCCAGUUCAUGGCCCCAGGGCCAACACAGACUAUUAAUGUUUCAAUGAAUUACCUAAGGAGCACCAUGAAAAAAACACACCAUGGUACUGGCAAUUGUUUGAAGAAGGUCCUAAAUAUGCCUGGGUUUGGGAGUCUCGGCUUCUACUGGGAAUGAUACAAGAGGUCAAGGCUACUUGUAAUGAAUAAAUCCUGUUCUCUG